Molecule: ribosomal RNA, 432 nt
Filed under: uncultured bacterium
Lineage: Bacteria
Description: bacterial SSU rRNA
Rfam family: Bacterial small subunit ribosomal RNA
Source: RNAcentral
CUUGCUUUUGAUGGGCGUCGACCGGCGCACGGGUGAGUAACGCGUAUCCAACCUGCCCGUCACUUGGGGAUAACCUUGCGAAAGUAAGCUAAUCCCAAUGAUAUCUCUAGACGACAUCUGAAAGGGNUUAAAGAUUUAUCGGUGAUGGAUGGGGAUGCGUCUGAUUAGCUUGUUGCGGGGUAACGGCCACCAAGGCAACGAUCAGUAGGGGGUUCUGAGAGGAAGGUCCCCCACAUUGGAACUGAGACACGGUCCAAACUCCUACGGGAGGCAGCAGUGAGGAAUAUUGGUCAAUGGAGGCAACUCUGAACCAGCCAAGUAGCGUGCAGGAUGACGGCCCUAUGGGUUGUAAACUGCUUUUAUGCGGGGAUAAAUUGACUCACGUGUGGGUCAUUGCAGGUACCGCAUGAAUAAGGACCGGCUAAUUCCGUG